GACGAACGCUGGCGGCGUGCUUAACACAUGCAAGUCGAACGGUGACGAGGAGCUUGCUCCUCUGAUCAGUGGCGAACGGGUGAGUAACACGUGAGCAACCUGCCCCAGACUCUGGGAUAACAGUUGGAAACAGCUGCUAAUACCGGAUACGAGACGGAGAGGCAUCUCUACCGUCUGGAAAGUUUUUCGGUCUGGGAUGGACUCGCGGCCUAUCAGCUAGUUGGUGAGGUAAUGGCCUACCAAGGCUACGAUGGUUAGCUGGUCUGAGAGGAUGGCCAGCCACACUGGAACUGAGACACGGUCCAGACUCCUACGGGAGGCAGCAGUGAGGAAUCUUGCGCAAUGGGGGAAACCCUGACGCAGCAACGCCGCGUGAGUGAGGAAGGCCUUCGGUCGUAAAGACUCUGUCAGAUGGGAAGGAAAUAGGAUGGGGGCGUAAUAUCGCCCAUCCUUGACGGUACCAUCAGAGGAAGACACCGGCUAACC
Molecule: ribosomal RNA, 486 nt
Filed under: uncultured bacterium
Lineage: Bacteria
Description: bacterial SSU rRNA
Rfam family: Bacterial small subunit ribosomal RNA
Source: RNAcentral